AUUGAACGCUGGCGGCACGCUUAACACAUGCAAGUCGAACGGUAGCAGGCAUUUACUUCGGUAUUUGUGCUGACGAGUGGCGGACGGGUGAGGAACACGUAGGAAUUUGCCCUAAAGUGAGGAAUAACCCGGGGAAACUCGGGCUAAUACCACUAAAGCUCUACGGAGCAAAGCCGGGGAUUUCUCUUUAAGCUCUUUAUAUAUAGAGACCUUAAAGAGAAACCUGGCGCUUUAGGAGAAGCCUGCGUCGGAUUAGCUUGUUGGUGAGGUAAAGGCUCACCAAGGCUACGAUCCGUAGCUGGUCUGAGGGGAUGACCAGCCACACUGGGACUGAGACACGGCCCAG
RNAcentral lists this ribosomal RNA (346 nucleotides) under uncultured bacterium. RNAcentral's name for it is "bacterial SSU rRNA". It matches the Rfam family "Bacterial small subunit ribosomal RNA", at positions 30 to 334 of the family's 1533-position model. The record is from RNAcentral.